AACGCGAAGAACCUUACCUACUCUUGACAUCCAGAGAACUUAGCAGAGAUGCUUUGGUGCCUUCGGGAACUCUGAGACAGGUGCUGCAUGGCUGUCGUCAGCUCGUGUUGUGAAAUGUUGGGUUAAGUCCCGCAACGAGCGCAACCCUUAUCCUUUGUUGCCAGCGAUUCGGUCGGGAACUCAAAGGAGACUGCCGGUGAUAAACCGGAGGAAGGUGGGGAUGACGUCAAGUCAUCAUGGCCCUUACGAGUAGGGCUACACACGUGCUACAAUGGCGUAUACAAAGAGAAGCGACCUCGCGAGAGCAAGCGGAACUCAUAAAGUACGUCGUGGUCCGGAUUGGAGUCUGCAACUCGACUCCAUGAAGUCGGAAUCGCUAGUAAUCGUAGAUCAGAAUGCUACGGUGAAUACGUUCCCGGGUCUUGUACACACCG
This 434-nucleotide ribosomal RNA is filed under the name uncultured Providencia sp. Its description in RNAcentral is "bacterial SSU rRNA". It matches the Rfam family "Bacterial small subunit ribosomal RNA", at positions 958 to 1392 of the family's 1533-position model. Lineage: Bacteria; Pseudomonadati; Pseudomonadota; Gammaproteobacteria; Enterobacterales; Morganellaceae. The record is from RNAcentral.